This 254-nucleotide ribosomal RNA is filed under the name uncultured bacterium. Its description in RNAcentral is "partial 16S ribosomal RNA". It matches the Rfam family "Bacterial small subunit ribosomal RNA", at positions 524 to 776 of the family's 1533-position model. The record is from RNAcentral.
UACGGAGGAGGCAAGCGUUAUCCGGAAUCAUUGGGCGUAAAGGGCGCGUAGGUGGCCCGGUCAGUUCGUGGUGAAAGCGCGGGGCUCAACCCUGCGUCGGCCAUGAAUACUGCCGCGGCUGGAGCACUGUAGAGGCAGGCGGAAUUCCGGGUGUAGCGGUGGAAUGCGUAGAGAUCCGGAAGAACACCGGUGGCGAAGGCGGCCUGCUGGGCAGUUGCUGACACUGAGGCGCGACAGCGUGGGGAGCAAACGGG